CCUACGGGAGGCAGCAGUGAGGAAUAUUGGUCAAUGGACGAGAGUCUGAACCAGCCAAGUAGCGUGAAGGAUGACUGCCCUAUGGGUUGUAAACUUCUUUUAUAUAGGAAUAAAAUGUUCCACGUGUGGGUUUUUGUAUGUACUUUAUGAAUAAGGAUCGGCUAACUCCGUGCCAGCAGCCGCGGUAAUACGGAGGAUCCGAGCGUUAUCCGGAUUUAUUGGGUUUAAAGGGAGCGUAGGUGGAUUGUUAAGUCAGUUGUGAAAGUUUGCGGCUCAACCGUAAAAUUGCAGUUGAAACUGGCAGUCUUGAGUACAGUAGAGGUGGGCGGAAUUCGUGGUGUAGCGGUGAAAUGCUUAGAUAUCACGAAGAACUCCGAUUGCGAAGGCAGCUCACUGGACUGCAACUGACACUGAUGCUCGAAAGUGUGGGUAUCAAACAGGAUUAGAUACCCUUGUAGUC
Molecule: ribosomal RNA, 460 nt
Filed under: uncultured bacterium
Lineage: Bacteria
Description: partial 16S ribosomal RNA
Rfam family: Bacterial small subunit ribosomal RNA
Source: RNAcentral